GUGACCUCAAAUCAGGUAGGACUACCCGCUGAACUUAAGCAUAUCAAUAAGCUGAGGAAUGAGGCGGGAGAAGCUCAAAUUUAAAAUCUGACAGUCCUUGGCUGUCCGAGUGGAAUCUAGAGAAGGGUCUCUGCGCUGGACCAUGGAUCAGUCUCCUGAAUGGGAGUCGCAAAGAUGAGAAUCCCGUCGUUGACUGGACAGCGAGGCUUCUGAUGCACUCGCCUACAAGCUCAGUGUUGAAAUGCAGAUCAGAUGGAGGGUGAAAUAC
Molecule: ribosomal RNA, 268 nt
Filed under: uncultured Cortinarius
Lineage: Eukaryota; Fungi; Basidiomycota; Agaricomycetes; Agaricales; Cortinariaceae
Description: partial 28S ribosomal RNA
Rfam family: Eukaryotic large subunit ribosomal RNA
Source: RNAcentral